GGGUUGUGAGGUUAAGCGACUAAGCGUACACGGUGGAUGCCCUGGCAGUCAGAGGCGAUGAAGGACGUGCUAAUCUGCGAAAAGCGCCGGCGAGGUGAUAUGAACCUUUGACCCGGCGAUGUCCGAAUGGGGAAACCCAGUGUGAUUCGUCACACUAUCGUUAACUGAAUACAUAGGUUAACGAGGCGAACCGGGGGAACUGAAACAUCUAAGUACCCCGAGGAAAAGAAAUCAACCGAGAUUCCCCCAGUAGCGGCGAGCGAACGGGGAGCAGCCCAGAGUCUGAAUCAGCUUGUGUGUUAGUGGAAGCGUCUGGAAAGUCGCACGGUACAGGGUGACAGUCCCGUACACGAAAGCACACAGGUUGUGAACUCGAAGAGUAGGGCGGGACACGUGGUAUCCUGUCUGAAUAUGGGGGGACCAUCCUCCAAGGCUAAAUACUCCUGACUGACCGAUAGUGAACCAGUACCGUGAGGGAAAGGCGAAAAGAACCCCGGCGAGGGGAGUGAAAAAGAACCUGAAACCGUGUACGUACAAGCAGUGGGAGCACCUUCGUGGUGUGACUGCGUACCUUUUGUAUAAUGGGUCAGCGACUUAUAUUCUGUAGCAAGGUUAACCGUAUAGGGGAGCCGAAGGGAAACCGAGUCUUAACUGGGCGUUAAGUUGCAGGGUAUAGACCCGAAACCCGGUGAUCUAGCCAUGGGCAGGUUGAAGGUUGGGUAACACUAACUGGAGGACCGAACCGACUAAUGUUGAAAAAUUAGCGGAUGACUUGUGGCUGGGGGUGAAAGGCCAAUCAAACCGGGAGAUAGCUGGUUCUCCCCGAAAGCUAUUUAGGUAGCGCCUCGUGAACUCAUCUUCGGGGGUAGAGCACUGUUUCGGCUAGGGGGCCAUCCCGGCUUACCAACCCGAUGCAAACUACGAAUACCGAAGAAUGUUAUCACGGGAGACACACGGCGGGUGCUAACGUCCGUCGUGAAGAGGGAAACAACCCAGACCGCCAGCUAAGGUCCCAAAGUCAUGGUUAAGUGGGAAACGAUGUGGGAAGGCACAGACAGCCAGGAUGUUGGCUUAGAAGCAGCCAUCAUUUAAAGAAAGCGUAAUAGCUCACUGGUCGAGUCGGCCUGCGCGGAAGAUGUAACGGGGCUAAACCAUGCACCGAAGCUGCGGCAGCGACACUAUGUGUUGUUGGGUAGGGGAGCGUUCUGUAAGCCGUUGAAGGUGUGCUGUGAGGCAUGCUGGAGGUAUCAGAAGUGCGAAUGCUGACAUAAGUAACGAUAAAGCGGGUGAAAAGCCCGCUCGCCGGAAGACCAAGGGUUCCUGUCCAACGUUAAUCGGGGCAGGGUGAGUCGACCCCUAAGGCGAGGCCGAAAGGCGUAGUCGAUGGGAAACAGGUUAAUAUUCCUGUACUUGGUGUUACUGCGAAGGGGGGACGGAGAAGGCUAUGUUAGCCGGGCGACGGUUGUCCCGGUUUAAGCAUGUAGGCGGAACGAUUAGGUAAAUCCGGUCGUUUUUUAACGCUGAGGUGUGAUGACGAGGCACUACGGUGCUGAAGUAACAAAUGCCCUGCUUCCAGGAAAAGCCUCUAAGCAUCAGGUAACAUCAAAUCGUACCCCAAACCGACACAGGUGGUCAGGUAGAGAAUACCAAGGCGCUUGAGAGAACUCGGGUGAAGGAACUAGGCAAAAUGGUGCCGUAACUUCGGGAGAAGGCACGCUGAUAUGUAGGUGAAGCCCCUGCGGGUGGAGCUGAAAUCAGUCGAAGAUACCAGCUGGCUGCAACUGUUUAUUAAAAACACAGCACUGUGCAAACACGAAAGUGGACGUAUACGGUGUGACGCCUGCCCGGUGCCGGAAGGUUAAUUGAUGGGGUUAGCGGCAACGCGAAGCUCUUGAUCGAAGCCCCGGUAAACGGCGGCCGUAACUAUAACGGUCCUAAGGUAGCGAAAUUCCUUGUCGGGUAAGUUCCGACCUGCACGAAUGGCGUAAUGAUGGCCAGGCUGUCUCCACCCGAGACUCAGUGAAAUUGAACUCGCUGUGAAGAUGCAGUGUACCCGCGGCAAGACGGAAAGACCCCGUGAACCUUUACUAUAGCUUGACACUGAACACUGGUCCUUGAUGUGUAGGAUAGGUGGGAGGCUUUGAAGUGUGGACGCCAGUCUGCAUGGAGCCGUCCUUGAAAUACCACCCUUUAAUGGCUGGUGUUCUAACGUAGACCCGUAAUCCGGGUUGCGGACAGUGUCUGGUGGGUAGUUUGACUGGGGCGGUCUCCUCCCAAAGAGUAACGGAGGAGCACGAAGGUUAGCUAAUCCUGGUCGGACAUCAGGAGGUUAGUGCAAUGGCAUAAGCUAGCUUGACUGCGAGAGUGACGGCUCGAGCAGGUGCGAAAGCAGGUCAUAGUGAUCCGGUGGUUCUGAAUGGAAGGGCCAUCGCUCAACGGAUAAAAGGUACUCCGGGGAUAACAGGCUGAUACCGCCCAAGAGUUCAUAUCGACGGCGGUGUUUGGCACCUCGAUGUCGGCUCAUCACAUCCUGGGGCUGAAGUAGGUCCCAAGGGUAUGGCUGUUCGCCAUUUAAAGUGGUACGCGAGCUGGGUUUAGAACGUCGUGAGACAGUUCGGUCCCUAUCUGCCGUGGGCGCUGGAGAAUUGAGGGGGGCUGCUCCUAGUACGAGAGGACCGGAGUGGACGCAUCACUGGUGUUCGGGUUGUCAUGCCAAUGGCACUGCCCGGUAGCUAAAUGCGGAAAAGAUAAGUGCUGAAAGCAUCUAAGCACGAAACUUGCCCCGAGAUGAGUUCUCCCUGAGACUUUAAGUCUCCUGAAGGAACGUUGAAGACGACGACGUUGAUAGGUCGGGUGUGUAAGCGCAGCGAUGCGUUGAGCUAACCGAUACUAAUGAACCGUGAGGCUUAACCUUACAACGCCGAAGGUGUUU
Molecule: ribosomal RNA, 2932 nt
Filed under: Enterobacter roggenkampii
Lineage: Bacteria; Pseudomonadati; Pseudomonadota; Gammaproteobacteria; Enterobacterales; Enterobacteriaceae
Description: bacterial LSU rRNA
Rfam family: Bacterial large subunit ribosomal RNA
Source: RNAcentral